Molecule: long non-coding RNA, 405 nt
Filed under: Helianthus annuus (common sunflower)
Lineage: Eukaryota; Viridiplantae; Streptophyta; Magnoliopsida; Asterales; Asteraceae
Source: RNAcentral
AUGGACAACCCAUUUAGGGUUACAUCAAAACAAAGCGCAGAACAACAACAGCAGACUCAGGUAUCCAACAAAUGAACAAGCGCCUCCACCCUCACCUCAGACCUCACCCUCCUCCUCCGGCCGACCUCCUCCAGCCGUCCUCCUCACAGGUCGACAUAAUAUCAGCAAUUCCUGCCCUAAAAUCUCUACAAAAGUGACCAGCGACAUCAGCGACAGCGGCGGCUUCCUUCUCCGGCGGCCCUGCUUCCUUCUCCGGCGACAUCAGCAACAGGUAAUUUAUUGGACUAAAUGACUAAUUCUAUGAUGUAAUUGUUAAACAUUAUCGAAUAAUAUGUUGUGAUUGUUGUUUAAAUGUUUAAUUAUUGUUUGAUUGGACUGAUUAAGUGAUUAUAAGUUGAUGUUAAU